AACUCCUGGCAACGGGCAUAAGAGAUACCUUGGUGGUGGUGGUGUUCUUAUAUCAGUCAGGAGCCGAGCAGAUGGCAGUCUUGUUCACCCUAGCUUAAUGCCUGGCUUGGUGGCCAAAGCUGUCUUAUGCCUAGGACUCCGAA
Psammomys obesus (fat sand rat) is the source of this 143-nucleotide small nucleolar RNA. RefSeq annotates it as small nucleolar RNA SNORA48. NCBI's taxonomy places the organism in Eukaryota, Metazoa, Chordata, Mammalia, Rodentia, Muridae. The transcript has a single exon. The record is from RefSeq and is a predicted model, not a curated record.